CCGCACAAGCGGUGGAGCAUGUGGUUUAAUUCGAUGCAACGCGAAGAACCUUACCUGGUCUUGACAUCCACAGAACUUUCCAGAGAUGG
RNAcentral lists this ribosomal RNA (89 nucleotides) under Escherichia coli. RNAcentral's name for it is "partial 16S ribosomal RNA". It matches the Rfam family "Bacterial small subunit ribosomal RNA", at positions 921 to 1009 of the family's 1533-position model. Lineage: Bacteria; Pseudomonadati; Pseudomonadota; Gammaproteobacteria; Enterobacterales; Enterobacteriaceae. The record is from RNAcentral.